RNAcentral lists this non-coding RNA (79 nucleotides) under unclassified sequences. RNAcentral's name for it is "Proteo-phage-1 RNA". It matches the Rfam family "Proteo-phage-1 RNA". The record is from Rfam by way of RNAcentral.
CCACAGCCGGGGUGGACCCAUAAGGGAUAAGCCCGGACUCGUAAGCCGAUAGAGCGAGAUGAAAACAUCAUCGGCAGCC